AUAAAGUUUCAGACCUUACCCCGUGGGAGGAGCUCCAAAUUCAUUUAAAUGAGGAAGAAGGCGGAGGGAAGAUGACUGACGUAGAGUCUGAAUCACCCAUGCGGUCAAACCUAAAAAAACUUUCAAGGAGGGCGAAAAACUUUCAAGAAGGGCGAAAAGGGGGAGGAGGGUCUUUUUAAAGGCGAUCUCUGUUAUUUUUAAAAGGGGUUUUUUUUUAAGAAGUACAGUGUUUGUGCAAGUUACCUCUAAUUAGAAAACGGGGAGAGGACUCGAUAAGACUCUUUUGUCAGGACUUGAAUGCAACAUGUGACGCUAUUCACUUCAACCACUCCGGCCUGCCCUCCCUUCUCCUUCCUUAAAGGCGGGAUCAAACUGUUUCCUUGCAAAAUUUCCUUGCUCUCAGCCCCAUUUCUUUUUGUCUUUCUUUGAAGCAGCUUUCUGGGGCGCUGUUACAGUGCCCGUCUUCGCGAUUUCAUUUCCUCCAUUCCUCCAUGUUUAGAGGGAAACAAAAGCAAAAACUUGGGAGUCAACUUUAGACUUUCUUUUCACACCGAGCGCGCACAACUAAAGGGAAGUAUAUUUGAUGUCUCGGGCAGUUGAAACCUUAUGACUACGUUACUCGGAAGGAAAUCCCGAGUGAGCUCGAGCUGGGCUCAUUUCUGUGUGAGCUGAGUAGGGCAAGGCUGUGUGAUCUGAGGCACAUUUACUUGGAACAAACCGAUGCAGAAAUACAGCAAACUGAACCUAAGUUUUGAAAAAUGAGAAACUCAGAGGGAUGCUGAAAAUGACAACUCCAUCCAUGCUUCACACUGCUGCAUGACCAUCUGCUUGGUUUUGCAGUGUGAAAUAGAUUAACCUGGCUCUACCUCACAAGGUAAGGCAUACAGAAGAAGAUGAAAGGAAUUGGUGAAAGCCAGAGAAGAAAAACAUUGAAAGAGGAAACGCAAGGCCUGUGAUUCACCAAUGAGCCAAGGUACUGUGACCUGCCCUUUCCCCCUUCUUUGUUUUUACAGUCCCAGGCAGGCAGCAACAGCAUGAUGUUUCUCAAGAGGGUGGGCUGGAUUUGGUUUUCUGCAUUGCAAUGCUGCAGCUUUUACAGAAGCUGCGUCUAGUGGGAUUUAUUCUUUUUACCCAGCUCAUAAAAGCAAACUAGCCCUCUCGUAGUCUGGCUAGAGAGCAGGUGAGUCUAUCGAAGGUGAAUCACCUUUUUCUAAGGCAUAAUUUUCAUGGAUCACUUAAGAGAAGCUGGAAGACAGCCUGUCAUAGGGUGGCAGCUUGUAAACUGGAAAUCUGCCUGUCGCUUUAAAGAUUUCGAUGCAGCAGAAGAGGAUGCAGCUGCGAUACCACCCCUCCCUGCUGUGAGGCAAAACCAGAGUCCUCCUUGCUCUAGUUGCAGGUAGGAGGAUGCGCAGUGGCACUGUGCGAGGGGAAGCCGCAGCUGCAUCCUCUUUUUGUGACUGCUGAGUUGUUAAAGAGGCAGGUGGGAUUUCUGGGUUGCAACCUUGUAAGCCACAGGCAGGAAGACCCAAGCUGUGUGACCGGCCAGCUUGACUUCCUCAUCACCAAAAGGUUACAGAUUCACCUUCAUAUUCAGCCCAGUCCAUUGGCUUGGCUGACCCCUUGAGGAAGCAGGGGAGUGCCUAAGCGGUGCAUCAAGAGAGUUCAGCAUUUUCUAAACCGGCUAAUUAAAAUUAUCAGGUGUACUUCAAUCCACAGAGAAGUGUUAGUCAGGGAGGGCAUAUUUUCUUUGCUGGGAAACAGUUGCUAGGUGAGACCACUGAUAAGACAUCUUGCAGACCUAUGUUAAGAAAGCUGAAUCAAGUCAAUUAAAUGGAGGCUGAACUUCUGGCGGUAUAAUUGAUAACCAGGACAAAAUGAGCUCAUGAUAAGUGAGAGCAGAGAAGAUGGUGUGUUCUGCUGCUUUCCUUCCCCUUCUUUGUUGUUCAUUAUUAGAUGUUAAGAGUCUUUUGAAGCAGACUAAUAAGAUUUACAAGAAUGACUCACAGAUCACACAAGAUAGACCAGGUUGGACCUGUUUUGUCUCUUUCUUUAUGGCAUGCUGAAAACCCAGUGACAAGAGUUCUCUCUCAAAGCUUAAGAAGACGCUGAAUGACUUCAGAUUCACAGAGUUCAUUUCAAAUAGUUCACCUGUACAAUGGGCAAUUGUUUGCAGUGGAGUUUUUGGCUUAGACUUCCUCCUGCAGCCACUGUUUGGUGUCUCCUGUGUGUCAAUGUGACAUAUGAUUUAUGCAAAAAGAACGACAGACCAGUCCGUUUGUUGGAAACUUAUUGGUUGCAGUCCCAGGAUCUGCUGGUUCAGCUCUUCCAACACGUCAUUCCAUCAGGACACCUAGUGACCUGUUUAAUCUCCAGCUCUUCGCUUCUGACUUCUUCUUGUAAAUGAUUUAUCAGCUGGCGUGGAUCCCUGUUUGCUUAAGGAGGCGUGUAGUGACCUCUAGCAUGGCCUGUGUACAAAGAUGCAAACAGCAUCUUUGAUUGUGAACUUUUAUACAACAAGCAGAAGGCCACCUCAUGCCAUUUGAGGUUUCUGAAGACUUCGGUGAUUGAUUGUUGAAGCUUUC
Molecule: non-coding RNA, 2582 nt
Organism: Podarcis muralis (Common wall lizard)
Lineage: Eukaryota; Metazoa; Chordata; Lepidosauria; Squamata; Lacertidae
Source: RefSeq, a predicted model, not a curated record